Molecule: transfer RNA, 88 nt
Filed under: Bacteroidota bacterium
Lineage: Bacteria; Pseudomonadati; Bacteroidota
Description: tRNA-Ser
Rfam family: tRNA
About the family: Transfer RNA (tRNA) molecules are approximately 80 nucleotides in length. Their secondary structure includes four short double-helical elements and three loops (D, anti-codon, and T loops). Further hydrogen bonds mediate the characteristic L-shaped molecular structure. tRNAs have two regions of fundamental functional importance: the anti-codon, which is responsible for specific mRNA codon recognition, and the 3' end, to which the tRNAs corresponding amino acid is attached (by aminoacyl-tRNA synthetases). tRNAs cope with the degeneracy of the genetic code in two manners: having more than one tRNA (with a specific anti-codon) for a particular amino acid; and 'wobble' base-pairing, i.e. permitting non-standard base-pairing at the 3rd anti-codon position.
Source: RNAcentral
GGAGAGGUGCUCGAGUGGCUGAAGAGGCUCGCCUGGAAAGCGGGUAAGCGGCACAACCGCUUCGGGGGUUCGAAUCCCCCUCUCUCCG